This 1252-nucleotide long non-coding RNA is filed under the name Homo sapiens (human). Its description in RNAcentral is "non-protein coding lnc-TNFAIP6-3:6". Lineage: Eukaryota; Metazoa; Chordata; Mammalia; Primates; Hominidae. The record is from RNAcentral.
ACUCUCUCCUUUCUGGUCUAAAUUGGGUUGGAAUAUAUAUCAAAGGAAGCCAGAAAGUGGUUGGGGAGAUUAAAAAAAACAACAACAACAACGUUUAGACUGAAUGUCUUGACGGUCCAUCCAUUCACUUCUGCUUUGAAAAUGACAGGGUCUCACUCUGUUACCCAGUCUGGAGUACAAUGGCACCACUAUAGCCCACUGCAGCCUCAAACUUCUGGGAUCAAGCAAUCUUCCCACUUCAGCAUCCCAAGUAGGAAUGUCUCAUUAAAUGACAUCAAAGCCUGAUUCUGCAAUUAAAAAAGCGUUUAUAUUAACUGGAUUUUGAAAAGAGAAAAGAACAAUAAAACCACCCCCCAAUUCUUCAAACAACAAAAGAGGAAACACAGCAACCCCCUUCCCCAAAUUUUGGCAUUUGUUCACCUCUUUUAACCCUUGCUUUUUUGUAAAAUAACUUAUGGAGAAAUUGUUGUGAGCAAAAGGUCUUAAUUGCAAAAAAAAAAAAAAAUCCUUUUAGGAGUGUUUAAAAUAAAAUGACAGAGUAUAUUUAUGGAGCCUGGACAAUGCAUCCUUUUCUCAUAUUUUCCAGUUUUGUAAUGCCUAAGUACUCGUCUAGAAUCUGAAUUUAGUAAUGCCAAUAUUGGACUCUUUCACAUACAUUCUAUAGAGUUAUUAGUAAACUCAUGACAACCAACUAACCAACCAGGCAAACAAAAACAUAUUUAGAAACCCAAGCUGUAAGGCACAGCUCAUGCACACACACACAAAAUUUCAUCCCAAAAUAUGUAUGAACUUUGAGGGAACAAUCAGCACUCUAAAGCAGCCGAACCCCCUGCACAGUUAGGAAUGAGCGGGCUUCUGGCAGUGUCUUUUAAAAAGGCACAGAGAUUUGCGUAUAGACAUAUUUCUAGUGCAUCAAUGACAGGUGGCUCUUCCCCAUCUAAGCAGGAUGGAUGGAGGGAGUUAGGUACAAUGGCUUAUAAUUUUCAAAUACUGUAAUUUUUUUUGUAAAGAUGGAAACCAUUAUUUUUUAAAAGCAUGUGGUUUCAAUAGUGCAUAUUUGAUUUAUGACUAAGAAUUCUUUUUCUCCAUGCCAUAUUAGUACCCUCACUUAAUUAAAUAGUUUUCUUUUUUGAAACUUAGAUUGGACAGAAAUCUGUUUUACCAAGGUAGUGAAUAUGGCUUUGUCAAAAUCUCUGUGUGUUUGUGUGUGUGUAUGUUGAAAUAAGUGCAGAAUUGAGAUAAUGAUGUGGAC